AAGAAGUAGAAAGGGGAAAAAUGGAUCUUCAUCAGAACAUAGGAAGAAGAUGAGAAGAAGAAUAAGCAGAUGAAGAGAAGAGAAUGGAUUUUCAGCCUAAUCGGUGUUGUCCCCGCCGAUUAGUGCUGCUCUUGUAAGUCCCUCUUCUCCCUCUGAUUCUAAGCAGUUCCUUUCACGUACAUAAUCUGGAAAUUUCCUCCACCAUCUUCAUGCGGUUUUCCUUGUGUGUGGAAACUCCCAUGGUAUUAUCAGAAAGUAUGACUUGAUGUGGUGCAGACAAUGCUUCCGCAGCAACACUAAGGAGAUUGGAUUAAUUAAGUGAACGAAAAGGCCGGUGCCUCCUUGCUAGCGGAUUUUGUUGAGCAAGCUGCCAUUAGAGAUAAAUGGAUCCCAAGUUGUUAUUUUCUUUGUAUUUUGAACAAUUUUGGCUGUUCUAAUUUACCAUUGAACUUGAAUUGGUUGAUGGUGCUAAAAUUUCUUGUAGAUUUGAACAAGAUACUUAAAUGAGCUUACAUUUCUUCAAAUUGUGAAUGGUUUAUGGAUGCAUCAAAGGGAAUACCCACAACAAUUGAUCAGCAUCAAAGGGAAUACCCACAACAAUACAUCAAGAUAUUACCUGAAAUACACUAAUAAGCAAACACUAUUUGGUUGGAAGAUAGAAAAAUCAAUUCCAAGUGCAGUACAUAAGUCCCGAUUGGCCUUUAUGUGAGCUACUCUAUUUCAUUCUGCUAUGACUACUUUGAUAUCUGCAAGCGCAUAAUGAAGCACUCCAUCAUCAGGAAUGAUGAUAUUGGAUUGGUAAAUCUGACUAAACUCAAGCUUUUCUUUUCUUUCAUGGUGACUUCUCAGAUUAAGAAACUCAAUUGCAGAACUAUGUUAACAAAAUGGCACUUCUCACAUGUGCAGAAACAUCUCAUCAGAGGUUGUUUUCAUUAGCUCAACCUAAGCUUUUGCCUUUCUUGGAUUUCUUCUGGAGUUGGAAGCAAAAAUGGCCACCUGUGAAGAACAACUGGUGAGACAAAACGUGGUUAAAGUUUUGCCCAACACAAGGAUUCUCAAAUAUUAGAUUCUAAGCACCUGCUUGAAAUAGUGUCUUAUCGUAUUUUGGCAGCAAGUCUUGAUCAAAGCAUGUAAGCAGUGAAGCAAAUCAGAUGGUAGAUUGUUUAGCUAAUGUAUAGGAUGCUAACAACAAGAUAUCUUUUAUUAUGAUGUUAUGUCCCACCAUCUUUUAGUUGCAAGAUGACUGUUUGGGGAUUUUAUUUUCAUUUUGUAUGAUUGUAUAUUAUUUUAAAGUUCCUUUUAUGAAAAAAAACUUCUAAAACUAUGAAAAGC
Non-coding RNA from Coffea arabica (coffee), 1332 nucleotides. The record is from RefSeq and is a predicted model, not a curated record. Lineage: Eukaryota; Viridiplantae; Streptophyta; Magnoliopsida; Gentianales; Rubiaceae.